Molecule: ribosomal RNA, 254 nt
Filed under: uncultured bacterium
Lineage: Bacteria
Description: partial 16S ribosomal RNA
Rfam family: Bacterial small subunit ribosomal RNA
Source: RNAcentral
UACGGGGGGAGCAAGCGUUGUUCGGAUUUACUGGGCGUAAAGGGCGCGUAGGCGGCCACCGCAAGUCAGUUGUGAAAUCUCUGGGCUUAACCCAGAAAGGUCAACUGAUACUGCGGGGCUAGAGUGCAGAAGGGGCAACUGGAAUUCUCGGUGUAGCGGUGAAAUGCGUAGAUAUCGAGAGGAACACCUGCGGCGAAGGCGGGUUGCUGGGCUGACACUGACGCUGAGGCGCGAAAGCGUGGGGAGCGAUCCGG